Non-coding RNA from Ceratotherium simum simum (southern white rhinoceros), 178 nucleotides. Lineage: Eukaryota; Metazoa; Chordata; Mammalia; Perissodactyla; Rhinocerotidae. The record is from RefSeq and is a predicted model, not a curated record.
AUGUCUCUGAUGAUGUCAUCAAGUAUUCAGGUAUCUUACAUAGUAACAGAUAUGAAUCUCUCUUAAGUCUAUAUCAAGUCCUCCAGCUUCAGUUUUUAAGGCUUCGGGAAAAAGGGCAGAUUCAGUUCUCAAUGAUUCCAAAUGAAAAGGACAAAAAAAUUGAAAAUGUUAGUUUGGA